Molecule: ribosomal RNA, 274 nt
Filed under: uncultured bacterium
Lineage: Bacteria
Description: partial 16S ribosomal RNA
Rfam family: Bacterial small subunit ribosomal RNA
Source: RNAcentral
AUACGGAGGGUGCAAGCGUUGUUCGGAAUUAUUGGGCGUAAAGACCAUGUAGGCGGACUGUUAAGUCUGGUGUGAAAGCCCGGGGCUCAACCCCGGAAGUGCAUUGGAUACUGGCAGUCUUGAGUAUGGGAGAGGAAAGUGGAAUUCCGAGUGUAGGAGUGAAAUCCGUAGAUAUCCGGAGGAACACCAGUGGCGAAGGCGGCUUUCUGGACCAAUACUGACGCUGAGAUGCGAAAGCGUGGGGAGCGAACAGGAUUAGAUACCCCAGUAGUCC